UGCUUGGGAGUCGANUAGCCAUGCGAGUCGCGGGCACCCCUUCGGGGGGGACCCGGCGAACGGCUCAGUAGCACGUGGAUAAUCUGCCCACGGGUCGGGGAUAACCCCGGGAAACUGGGACUAAUACCCGAUAGGUCAUAGUUGCUGGAAUGCUCUUUGAUUUAAAACCUUGUGCCCGUGGAUGAGUCUGCGGCCGAUUAGGCUGUUGUUGGGGUAACGGCCCAACAAACCUAUGAUCGGUACGGGUCGUGAGAGCGAUAGCCCGGAGAUGGGAUCUGAGACACGAUCCCAGGCCCUACGGGGCGCAGCAGGCGCGAAACCUUUACAAUGUGGGAAACCAUGAUAAGGGAACUCCCAGUGCUCCUACACAGUAGGAGCUGUUCAGAUGUGUAAAAAGCAUCUGAUAGGAAGGGCCGGGUAAGACCGGUGCCAGCCGCCGCGGUAACACCGGUGGCCCGAGUGGUGGCCGCUUUUAUUGGGUCUAAAGCGUUCGUAGCCGGUUUGACAAGUCAUCUGGGAAAUUCGGCGGCUUAACCGUCGGGCGUCCAAAUGAUACUGUCAGACUUGGAACUGGGAGAGACUAGAGGUAUUCUUGGGGUAGGGGUGAAAUCCUGUGAUCCUAGGGAGACCGCCGGUGGCGAAGGCGUCUAGUUAGAACAGGUUCGACGGUGAGGAACGAAAGCUGGGGGCACAAACCGGAUUAGAUACCCGGGUAGUCCCAGCCGUAAACGAUGCCAGCUAUGUGUCGGGAGAUCCAUGUGUUCUUUCCGGUGCCGUA
This 778-nucleotide ribosomal RNA is filed under the name uncultured euryarchaeote. RNAcentral describes it as "bacterial SSU rRNA". It matches the Rfam family "Archaeal small subunit ribosomal RNA", at positions 28 to 805 of the family's 1478-position model. The record is from RNAcentral. Lineage: Archaea; Methanobacteriati; Methanobacteriota.